GUAGCCGGUUUUAGCAAGUUCCUGGUUAAAUCUGGCAGCAAACUGUCAGGCGUGCUAGGAAUACUAUUGGACUUGAGAUUUGGAGAGGUCAGAGGUAGUCCAUGUGUAGGGGGUUAAAUCCUUUAAUACCAUGAGGACCUCCGGUGGCGAAGGCGUCUGACUGGAACAAGUCUGACGGUGAGGGCCGAAAGCGUGGGGAGCAAAACGGAUUAGAUACCCGUGUAGUCCACGCUGUAAACGAUGUCCGUUUGAUGUGACAAAUACUUACGUGGACUUGUUGUGUCGGA
Molecule: ribosomal RNA, 287 nt
Filed under: uncultured archaeon SYA_2000_27
Lineage: Archaea
Description: partial 16S ribosomal RNA
Rfam family: Archaeal small subunit ribosomal RNA
Source: RNAcentral